This 73-nucleotide transfer RNA is filed under the name Bos taurus (domestic cattle). RNAcentral describes it as "tRNA-Gly (TCC) (tRNA-Gly-TCC-10-1)". Lineage: Eukaryota; Metazoa; Chordata; Mammalia; Artiodactyla; Bovidae. The record is from RNAcentral.
UCCCUGGUGGUCCAGUGGCUAAGACUCUGCACUUCCACUGCAGGGGGCCUGGGUUUGAUCCCUGGUCAGGGAA